AAACAGAAGUGAAACAACAGACAGGAAACUCAUCACUAGUUAAUGAGUGUGAGCACCUGCAGCUUCAGUUUUAAAAUGACCACUUCUCAAAAAAGGCUCUAGUGCUGAAAUUUACAGUGUGCAUACACUCACGCAGAGUCGUUCGAGCUCUUCAGACAACAGUACCUCAGAACAAACCAGUAACAGACCCAAAAGAACCAUGAUAAGUCCCAGAACAGUUUGUUUUGUGUAUUUUGCAUUGCUCUUCGGAUCGGCACAUGCUGAUGACCAAG
Long non-coding RNA from Carassius carassius (crucian carp), 272 nucleotides. RefSeq lists it as uncharacterized. Lineage: Eukaryota; Metazoa; Chordata; Actinopteri; Cypriniformes; Cyprinidae. The transcript has 2 exons. The record is from RefSeq and is a predicted model, not a curated record.